RNAcentral lists this transfer-messenger RNA (347 nucleotides) under bovine gut metagenome. It matches the Rfam family "transfer-messenger RNA". Rfam says of the family: Bacterial tmRNA, also known as 10Sa RNA or SsrA, is named for its dual tRNA and mRNA-like properties. Its role is to liberate the mRNA from a stalled ribosome. The record is from RNAcentral.
GGGGUUGUACCGGUUUCGACGGGGACUUUGAAGGUCGGAUAGCCAUCCGCGGACCGUGACCGCGUAUCAAAACGGAUCUAAACAUAAACGCAGACAACAAUAGAGUUGCCUUAGCUGCUUAAGCAGCUAUGUCGCCCGCAGGGCGCUCACUCCCGGCGCAAGCGGCAUCAUGAAAAGUGAGAAACGGUCGGCCUUAAGCUUUGCGGGCCGAUACGCAGCCAUGAAGCUACUGAAACGAUAAGCCUGCUGUCCGGCGGAUCGCGGAGGGAAUGUCAAAAGAUCAGCUAUGAUGGAAGAAGUCCGGUUGGACAGGUUUUCGGACAGGGGUUCGACUCCCCUCAGCUCCA